This 84-nucleotide transfer RNA is filed under the name Felis catus (domestic cat). It matches the Rfam family "tRNA". Rfam says of the family: Transfer RNA (tRNA) molecules are approximately 80 nucleotides in length. Their secondary structure includes four short double-helical elements and three loops (D, anti-codon, and T loops). RNAcentral also lists the same sequence under 1 other name. The record is from Rfam by way of RNAcentral. Lineage: Eukaryota; Metazoa; Chordata; Mammalia; Carnivora; Felidae.
GCCUGGGUGGCUCAGUCGGUUAAGCAUCUGACUUCGGCUCAGGUCCUGAUCUCAGGGUCAUGGGUUCGAGCCCCACGUCGGGCU